Molecule: long non-coding RNA, 1068 nt
Filed under: Lepisosteus oculatus (spotted gar)
Lineage: Eukaryota; Metazoa; Chordata; Actinopteri; Semionotiformes; Lepisosteidae
Description: lncRNA (ENSLOCG00000022182.1)
Source: RNAcentral
AUGAAACGCACCAUCAUUUCUAGUGCAACUGAACUCAUGUCAUUCCAUGAGCUGGAGCUGAUGACUGGAAGGAGUCUGGAAGAUGAAGACUGCGGCAACUAUAAUAAGCCUUUGUGGCAUCCUUACUAUGGGAGGCUACAGUAUGUGCAUGCACACAACACAAAGCGCACCUGGAGCGCUGUGGAUACUGAGCUCCUAAGGACGAUGACAAUGUCUCCUGAAGAGAUGGAAUAUGCUAGGGCCCAUCAGAAAAUUACAGAGCAGCCUGUGAAUGAGGAGCCUCUGAGACACACACUGCCAGUGAACAGAAUAACACCCAUAACUGACCCACCACUGGAAGGAGAUGCCUUGAUACUGAGUAAACUAAAGGACCUGUGCAGCCCCACAGUCUUCCUGCUUGAGCAGUUAGGUUUACUGAGCCUCUUCUGCAAGUUGUUUGGAAAGCUAACUACAAAGAGGAGGGCCAGAGAACCUAAAACCCACCUGGUCAGGCAUCCAGGCUGACAGAGGAGCUUCACUGACCUGUGUGAAGGCAAGAGAACAGCCUCCACAGGAGUAAGCUGGGCCAGACAGAGAAAGGAACUGAGAACACUCUUUAUCAGGGCUCUUCUGGCUUUCAUCUGUUUCAUUACAUUUUGUAGAAAUUUAAAAUAUUUAUGUCACCAGCAGUUGUAACAGUUAAGAUUUAAAUUCAUAUGUACUGUAUAUUCAGAUCAAUAAUUAACAGCAUCCUACUUCUACAUUUGCUAAUAAAGUAUGAAAGGGAAUUAGUUUAAAAGGGCAUACGGUAUAUGAAAAAUAUUUUUUUAAGUUGUAAAAUUGAAUAUUGACACACCAAUACCUUAUUUGUGCAGAUUUAACAAUUCUAUUUAAGUAAUUUUAACGAACAACGUUGCUCUGAUCAUACACCUAAUUGUAAUGUUAAGCAAAAUCAACCCAUCACCUCUUAUUAUAUACCAUCUUAUUUUUGUUCUAAGACAAAACAGUCAUAAUGCCAACAUAAAAUUCUAAUAAUAUAAUUUAAAAUGUAAAAAAUUUAAUUUUAAGUAAUUUAGUGCUAAAAUGUUU